GUGAAUCAUCAAAUUUUUGAACGCAAAUUGCACUCCCUGGUCUUCCGGGGAGUAUGCCUGCUUGAGGGUUAGUAUGUUACAAUAGUAAAAAGAAAUGUAUACGGAUCUGGUUUUUCAAAAAGUUAUAUUUUUGGUUAUUUAAUAAUUAUCAUAACAAUAGGUGAUAUUGGAAAUGUUUAUGUUGGAUUUAUUAAUAUUUAUUAUCAAAUUUGUUACGUCGUGUUAUUUUAUUAAUUUCUUAAUUAGGUAAAAGUUAUACAAUUUUAAUUUUGAAAUCU
RNAcentral lists this unclassified non-coding RNA (278 nucleotides) under Acaulospora lacunosa. RNAcentral's name for it is "partial contains 5.8S ribosomal RNA and internal transcribed spacer 2". The stretch from base 1 to 71 matches the Rfam family "5.8S ribosomal RNA", at positions 84 to 154 of the family's 154-position model. Lineage: Eukaryota; Fungi; Glomeromycota; Glomeromycetes; Diversisporales; Acaulosporaceae. The record is from RNAcentral.